This 71-nucleotide transfer RNA is filed under the name Ictidomys tridecemlineatus (thirteen-lined ground squirrel). RNAcentral's name for it is "tRNA-Ala (AGC) (tRNA-Ala-AGC-34-1)". It matches the Rfam family "tRNA". From Rfam's summary of the family: Transfer RNA (tRNA) molecules are approximately 80 nucleotides in length. Their secondary structure includes four short double-helical elements and three loops (D, anti-codon, and T loops). Lineage: Eukaryota; Metazoa; Chordata; Mammalia; Rodentia; Sciuridae. The record is from Rfam by way of RNAcentral.
GUGGUUAUGGCUCAGUGGUAGAGUGCUUGCCUAGCAUGCAUGAGGCACUGGGUUCGAUCCCCAGGACCACA